Molecule: non-coding RNA, 126 nt
Filed under: Kibdelosporangium phytohabitans
Lineage: Bacteria; Bacillati; Actinomycetota; Actinomycetes; Pseudonocardiales; Pseudonocardiaceae
Source: RNAcentral
UCUCAGGCUCCUGCCUACGGUCCUCUGGCCAUUCGUCGGAGUAAGCCGGUGAGAACCCGGCACGGUCGCGCCACUGUAUGCGGGCACCCACCCGCAAGUCAGACACUCCGGCGGCCACGAGAAGCC